Molecule: transfer RNA, 67 nt
Filed under: Marmota monax (woodchuck)
Lineage: Eukaryota; Metazoa; Chordata; Mammalia; Rodentia; Sciuridae
Description: tRNA.Ala
Source: RNAcentral
GGUUGUGGCUCAGUGGUAGAGUGCUCGCCUAGCAUGCAUGAGGCACUGGGUUUGAGUCUCAAAACCA